This is a long non-coding RNA of Haliotis rubra (blacklip abalone), 152 nucleotides long. RefSeq lists it as uncharacterized. NCBI's taxonomy places the organism in Eukaryota, Metazoa, Mollusca, Gastropoda, Lepetellida, Haliotidae. The transcript has 4 exons. The record is from RefSeq and is a predicted model, not a curated record.
GUCUACUCAAACCUGCCCGGCUGCCCUUUAAUAGGUUUAUACAUACCAUAUCCGACUACUGUACAGAGUAUUCCAGGUACCUGUGUCUGUUUGACAUCUGCUUGGAACUGUCGACAAGAACAAUAGACGAUAACCCGAUCUUUGGUUAAAAA